UACGUAGGGGGCAAGCGUUGUCCGGAAUCAUUGGGCGUAAAGCGCGUGUAGGCGGCUCGGAAAGUCGGGCGUGAAAUGCCGGGGCUCAACCCCGGGACUGCGUCCGAUACUUCCGAGCUGGAGGUAGGUAGGGGAGAUCGGAAUUCCUGGUGUAGCGGUGAAAUGCGCAGAUAUCAGGAGGAACACCGGUGGCGAAGGCGGAUCUCUGGGCCUUACCUGACGCUGAGGCGCGAAAGCUAGGGGAGCGAACAGG
RNAcentral lists this ribosomal RNA (253 nucleotides) under uncultured bacterium. RNAcentral's name for it is "partial 16S ribosomal RNA". It matches the Rfam family "Bacterial small subunit ribosomal RNA", at positions 524 to 776 of the family's 1533-position model. The record is from RNAcentral.